AUACGUAGGGGGCGAGCGUUGUCCGGAAUGACUGGGCGUAAAGGGCGUGUAGGCGGUUGUCUAAGUCUGGAGUGAAAGUCCUGCUUUCAAGGUGGGAAUAGCUUUGGAUACUGGAUGACUUGAGUGCGGAAGAGGUAAGUGGAAUUCCCAGUGUAGCGGUGAAAUGCGUAGAGAUUGGGAGGAACACCAGGGGCGAAGGCGACUUACUGGGCCGGAACUGACGCUGAGGCGCGAAAGCGUGGGGAGCGAACAGGAUUAGAUACCCUGGUAGUCCACGCGGUAAACGAUGAAUGCUAGGUGUUGCGGGUAUCGACCCCUGCAGUGCCGGAGUAAACACAGUAAGCAUUCCGCCUGGGGAGUACGGUCGCAAGAUUAAAACUCAAAGGAAUUGACGGGG
This 397-nucleotide ribosomal RNA is filed under the name uncultured bacterium. RNAcentral describes it as "partial 16S ribosomal RNA". It matches the Rfam family "Bacterial small subunit ribosomal RNA", at positions 523 to 918 of the family's 1533-position model. The record is from RNAcentral.